UCUAAUGAGACUGCCGGUGACAAGCCGGAGGAAGGUGGGGAUGACGUCAAGUCCUCAUGGCCCUUAUAGGUGGGGCUACACACGUCAUACAAUGGCUGGUACAAAGGGUUGCCAACCCGCGAGGGGGAGCUAACCCCAUAAAGCCAGUCGUAGUCCGGAUCGUAGUCUGCAACUCGACUACGUGAAGUCGGAAUCGCUAGUAAUCGUGGAUCAGAAUGUCACGGUGAAUACGUUCCCGGGCCUU
This 244-nucleotide ribosomal RNA is filed under the name uncultured Rhodoferax sp. RNAcentral describes it as "partial 16S ribosomal RNA". It matches the Rfam family "Bacterial small subunit ribosomal RNA", at positions 1139 to 1382 of the family's 1533-position model. Lineage: Bacteria; Pseudomonadati; Pseudomonadota; Betaproteobacteria; Burkholderiales; Comamonadaceae. The record is from RNAcentral.